Molecule: non-coding RNA, 1882 nt
Organism: Macaca mulatta (Rhesus monkey)
Lineage: Eukaryota; Metazoa; Chordata; Mammalia; Primates; Cercopithecidae
Source: RefSeq, a predicted model, not a curated record
UGGGUCCUGCCAGCUCGUCCCUGCAACCCCCCACUCCCGUCCCCUCAAACCUGUUCAUGGCUUGCAGCCCUGUGAUACCUUGCCACAUUCUGUGACAGAAUCCGAGAUCCAGGUAGAAGGGGGGAAGUACAUGGUGGCUGUCGGGGCAGCUUUCUGUAAAAUGCUGCCUGGAGAAGCACGUGAUUCCAGACCUUCCUCUCUGCAAUAAAAGUGAGGUUGACACCUACAGAUAUGAUUGUAACAGGAUUUUUAGCUCAGGAUGUGCCUCUGUGAUCACCUGCAACCUCCAUGUGAAAGCAUCAGCCAGGGGCUCAAGAACUUCCCUCUGGAGCCUCACACUCCCAGCGUGGCACCUGGCAGGGAACAGAUUCUCUCCAAACCUUUGUCAAUGAAUUAAGGACGACGUCACUAGAAUCCAUCCCUCUUUUAUUUUUUAUUUUUAUUUUUUGAGACAGAGUCUCGCUCUGUCGCCGAGGCUGGAGUGCAGUGGCACAAUCGCAGCUCACUGCAAGCUCUGCCUCCCCGGUUCAAGUGAUUCUCCUGCCUCAGCCUCCCGAGUAGCUGGGACUACAGGCACCCAUCACCACACCCGGCUAAUUUUUAUGUGUGAUUUAGUACAGACAGGGUUUCAGCAUGUUGGCCAGACUGCUCUUGAACUCCUGACCUCAGGUGAUCCGCCUGCCUCGGCCUCCCAAAGCGUUGGGAUUACAGGCGUGAGCCACCACUCCUAGCCCCAUCCCCAUUUUAUAGACAAGGAUACCAAGGCUCAGAGAGGGGAAGCUACUUGCCAAGGACACACAGGAGACCAGUGGGCAGGACCUCUGGUUUGUCCGGGAGGCCACUGGGCCUCUUCCCAGAGUCUUCAGCCUCUGCUUGGUGUUCCAAGAUUUUACACCCGCCGUGGGCCCAGUGGGCUGAGAGGACACGGGCUGGGGUGUCGGAAGCUGCAGAGCUGAUCCCUCCUGCUUGGCUGGAGGCUUGCAGACCCGGCAGGCAGGCUCGGGAGGCAGCGGGCGACCUGAAAAAGCACUCACUACCACAGGCUCAAGAGUGACAGCGCCUGUCAGGGACCGGGAGGCAAGGCUUUUCUUUUCUUGCUGUUUUAUUGCCUUCAAAGUCUGGACCAAGUGGUUUCCGGAUGGAGUCACAGUAACCUCACAUCUAUUCAAGCAAUUCGUUCAUUCCUGCAUUUAGUAAAAUACUCACAAAACAAGGAAGAACAUCUUGGCGGUGCCGCUGAUCCCCCCAUUUGUCUGCAAAUUAGAAAAGCGUGAUUCCAUUGAUCUCCUGUUUAUCGAGCGCCUACUACAUGCUAGGUCGGAUGGUCUGGUUCAACCCCCACAACCCCACAGCUGCUGUCUGUUUCGUAUCUUGUGUUUUCCACUUGACCGUUUAUCGUGUGCAUUUUCUCGUGUACCAAAGGCGCUUGUGAGAGAUGGUGUCUGGGGAAUGGGUAUCUCAGGGGUCUACCGCCUGGCUUACCUCUUCCCAAAUCAGGGUUCCUCUGCAUCACCUCCUCUCUGUCCAGCUCCUCCUUCAGGGCCUAGCUCAAUUCUACCUCCUCCACAAAGCCCUCCAUUCCCUCCCCUCCUGGCCAGUGUUGUCUCCUGUGCAGCCACUAGCUCUCUGCCUGGCCUCACCCGGGUCUCCUAUCCCUCCUCUCUCGUGGAGCGAUGCCUUUUCUCUUCCUCUAUACACAUCAGGUCUGAGCUCAAAGUCACCUUGUCAAAGGCCCUCCCAGGACCACCCUGUGUGAUUAUCCUGUGGAUUUGUUCCUGCGUUUGUCCCUGAGCCCAUAGAGUCUGCUCGUUUGGUAGAAGGACUCCUGCAGAAGGUGCUGGAUAAACACUGGAAGAUCUAGCAAUAAAAAUAAAAGAAAGAC